AGUGAACGCUGGCGGUAGGCCUAACACAUGCAAGUCGAACGGCAGCACAGUAAGAGCUUGCUCUUACGGGUGGCGAGUGGCGGACGGGUGAGGAAUACAUCGGAAUCUACUUUUUCGUGGGGGAUAACGUAGGGAAACUUACGCUAAUACCGCAUACGACCUACGGGUGAAAGCAGUGGAUCUUCGGACCUUGCGCGAUUGAAUGAGCCGAUGUCGGAUUAGCUAGUUGGCGGGGUAAAGGCCCACCAAGGCGACGAUCCGUAGCUGGUCUGAGAGGAUGAUCAGCCACACUGGAACUGAGACACGGUCCAGACUCCUACGGGAGGCAGCAGUGGGGAAUAUUGGACAAUGGGCGUAAGCCUGAUCCAGCCAUACCGCGUGGGUGAAGAAGGCCUUCGGGUUGUAAAGCCCUUUUGUUGGGAAAGAAAAGCAGCAGGUUAAUACCCCGCUGUUCUGACGGUACCCAAAGAAUAAGCACCGGCUAACUUCGUG
Molecule: ribosomal RNA, 492 nt
Filed under: uncultured bacterium
Lineage: Bacteria
Description: partial 16S ribosomal RNA
Rfam family: Bacterial small subunit ribosomal RNA
Source: RNAcentral